Molecule: ribosomal RNA, 403 nt
Filed under: uncultured bacterium
Lineage: Bacteria
Description: partial 16S ribosomal RNA
Rfam family: Bacterial small subunit ribosomal RNA
Source: RNAcentral
AUUGAACGCUGGCGGCAGGCCUAACACCUGCAAGUCGAGCGAGCGGCGGACGGGUGAGUAAUGUAUGGGGACUGCCCGAUAGAGGGGGAUAACUACUGGAAACGGUGGCUAAUACCGCAUACUAUCGGAUAACCCAUAUGGGAUUAGCUAGUAGGUGGGGUAAAGGCUCACCUAGGCGACGAUCUCUAGCUGGGCUGAGAGGGUGAUCCGCCACGCUGGGCCUGUGACACGGCCCAGACGCCUACGGAGGCAGCAGUGGGGAUGAUUGCACAAUAGACGCAAGCCCGAUGCAGCCAUGCCGCGUGUAUGAAGAAGGCCUUAGGGUUGUAAAGUACUUUCAGCGGGGAGGCUUUUCCCGCAUAAGAAGCACCGGCUAACUCCGUGCCAGCAGCCGCGGUAAUAC